Molecule: transfer RNA, 85 nt
Filed under: Felis catus (domestic cat)
Lineage: Eukaryota; Metazoa; Chordata; Mammalia; Carnivora; Felidae
Rfam family: tRNA
About the family: Transfer RNA (tRNA) molecules are approximately 80 nucleotides in length. Their secondary structure includes four short double-helical elements and three loops (D, anti-codon, and T loops). Further hydrogen bonds mediate the characteristic L-shaped molecular structure. tRNAs have two regions of fundamental functional importance: the anti-codon, which is responsible for specific mRNA codon recognition, and the 3' end, to which the tRNAs corresponding amino acid is attached (by aminoacyl-tRNA synthetases). tRNAs cope with the degeneracy of the genetic code in two manners: having more than one tRNA (with a specific anti-codon) for a particular amino acid; and 'wobble' base-pairing, i.e. permitting non-standard base-pairing at the 3rd anti-codon position.
Source: Rfam by way of RNAcentral
GCCUGAGUGGCUCAGUCGGUUGAGCGUCAGACUUCAGCUCAGGUCAUGAUCUCACACUCCGUGAGUUCGAGCCCCGCAUCAGGCU